Molecule: long non-coding RNA, 268 nt
Organism: Alnus glutinosa
Lineage: Eukaryota; Viridiplantae; Streptophyta; Magnoliopsida; Fagales; Betulaceae
Exons: 3
Source: RefSeq, a predicted model, not a curated record
GUAUUGUGCUACUUGGGGCCUACUUGUGGUUCCUCAAAUUUCAUUUAUUAUUUGGGUGAAUUUUGGAAACCUAGUGCUUAAUAUUCGUGCAGCCAAGACAUUGAUGCUUUGGUUGCAGGUUUAGCGGAUAUAGAUGAAGACUGGCAUACUUAGCGUAUGAGAUGCUAUGAUUGGAGCAUAUCGCGACGGUCAUAAAUCACAGACUCAUAGGUAGUCCAUAUUUUGGAUAUUUGGAUUAUUGGCUCGUGUCCUACGUGGCAUAUGUAUU